Long non-coding RNA from Bombyx mori (domestic silkworm), 513 nucleotides. RefSeq lists it as uncharacterized. The transcript is spliced from 3 exons. The record is from RefSeq and is a predicted model, not a curated record. NCBI's taxonomy places the organism in Eukaryota, Metazoa, Arthropoda, Insecta, Lepidoptera, Bombycidae.
AAAUGUCGACUACUGGGGGACCACUAUAAUAGUAGAUAUUCGAAUGUCUGUUGGCGUGCCAUUACGAAAUUCGAACAAAUUGUGCGCGUUCAAUUGUAUAACCUCAAUAUUUUAUCCUAAGAAGCUAUUCAAGCUACGCCUGGACGGGUAGGUGAGCUCACGGGCUCAACCUGAGAAAAUAUGCUAACACUAGCUCUAGCAAGAUCAGUUUUUUGCAGAAUCUACCACCGGCUUGGAAUCGCGACCCACUGAAAAGAUCCGAUUCUGAAACAUGGAUUUAUAAAAAGUUUAGUGUGGCUGAUGAAAAAUUAUAAAUUAAUUAAAUGUAGGUACGUAAUAUUUGGUACUUUACCUUUGUUGUCAUGAAGAUGUAAAUGACCAUACCGUUGCCCAUCAUUGAAAUGAAACCGAGGACUCCAAUGGUAAAACCCAAUAGCGCAUGCCAUAAGGGAUUCAUGGGCGGAAAUUGAUACCUAAAAAUAUUAUUGGUACAUUAUAAAAUUCUUACUUUAA